RNAcentral lists this ribosomal RNA (439 nucleotides) under uncultured bacterium. RNAcentral describes it as "partial 16S ribosomal RNA". It matches the Rfam family "Bacterial small subunit ribosomal RNA", at positions 338 to 794 of the family's 1533-position model. The record is from RNAcentral.
CCUACGGGAGGCAGCAGUAAGGAAUUUUAGACAAUGGGCGAAAGCCUGAUCUAGCAACGCCGCGUGGACGAUGAAGGCCUUCGGGUCGUAAAGUCCUUUUCUGUGGGAAGAUCGUGACGGUACCACAGGAAUAAGCAUCGGCUAACUACGUGCCAGCAGCCGCGGUAAUACGUAGGAUGCAAGCGUUGUCCGGAUUUAUUGGGCGUAAAGAGUGCGUAGGCGGCUUCUUAAGUGGGGCGUGAAAUCCCCCGGCUUAACCGGGAAGGGUCGUCCUAAACUGGGGGGCUUGAGGGUAGAAGAAGAGAGCGAAAUUCCGGGUGUAGGGGUAAAAUGCGUAGAUAUCGGGAGGAACACCUGUGGCGAGGGCGGCUCUCAAGGCUAUUCCUGACGCUGAGGCGCGAAAGCGGGGGGAGCGAACGAAAUUAGAUCCCCGGGUAGU